GAAUACCUCAACAGCUUUCAGCAGAAAUGGUAAGACAUGGGGAUUCCAAACCAGAGAGAAUGGAGGCUGAAAUUGCACAAGCCAGGAAAUACUUGAAAGCAGGCAGACGACAACAGUACAAUCCCAGAAAGACUGUAAAAUAGUUGAACAUGACUGAACUGUGAAAGGACAGUAGAUGAAUAGAGAAUUGUGGAAUAACAGCACCUGCCUUAGAACAUUAUGCGUCUGCAUCCCUGAAGAUAUGCAUGCCUCUAUUUGGAAACUCAAUGAACAGAAAGCACAACAUUAUUUAAUAUUGUCUGUUAAUUUGCCUCAGCUGGAGACAGCUCACCCAUCCUGAUAUGGUACCUGCAUGCAUAGAAGAAAAGUAAUGAAAGAAUUCCUGUGGUUUGGGUCAG
RNAcentral lists this long non-coding RNA (398 nucleotides) under Gallus gallus (chicken). RNAcentral describes it as "lncRNA (ENSGALG00010026826.1)". Lineage: Eukaryota; Metazoa; Chordata; Aves; Galliformes; Phasianidae. The record is from RNAcentral.